RNAcentral lists this ribosomal RNA (346 nucleotides) under Sphodromantis lineola. RNAcentral's name for it is "partial 12S ribosomal RNA". Lineage: Eukaryota; Metazoa; Arthropoda; Insecta; Mantodea; Mantidae. The record is from RNAcentral.
GAGUAUUAGUAGUUAUGAUCUUGAAACUUAAAGAAUUUGGCGGUAUUAUAGUCUGUUUAGAGGAAUCUGUUAUGUAAUCGAUAAUCCACGUAGAACCUUACUUAUAUUAUUUCUUGUAUAUCGCUGUUUAAGAACAUACUUUUAGGUAAUUUUCUUAAGAUGUAACUAAUUAAAAUUUCAAGUCAAGGUGCAGUAAUAUAUAAGUUGAAUAAUGGAUUACAAUAAAAUUUAUUUAUUAUGAAUUGUUAUUGAAAUAUAAUUUGAAGGUGGAUUUAAUUGUAAUUUUUUAAAGAUUGUUAAAAUGAUUUAAAGCUCUAUAAUAUGCACACAUCGCCCGUCGCUCUUA